RNAcentral lists this ribosomal RNA (253 nucleotides) under uncultured bacterium. RNAcentral describes it as "partial 16S ribosomal RNA". It matches the Rfam family "Bacterial small subunit ribosomal RNA", at positions 524 to 776 of the family's 1533-position model. The record is from RNAcentral.
UACGUAGGGGGCUAGCGUUGUCCGGAAUCAUUGGGCGUAAAGCGCGUGUAGGCGGUCCGGUAAGUCCGCUGUGAAAGUCGAGGGCUCAACCCUCGAAAGCCGGUGGAUACUGUCGGGCUUGAGUACGGGAGAGGCGAGUGGAAUUCCUGGUGUAGCGGUGAAAUGCGCAGAUAUCAGGAGGAACACCGAUUGCGAAGGCAGCUCGCUGGAACGUUACUGACGCUGAGACGCGAAAGCAUGGGGAGCGAACAGG